GGGGUGUGAAAGUUCAACACAUGGCCUACCUAUUUAUGUACCUGUUUGCUGAUCUGGUAAGUCUAUCUUGACAAGUAGCAUCUCAGAUAUGUUGAUAUAAUCUGACUAGACGUUGAUUCUAUUCUAAUAACAAGUCCGCAUUCAUCAGCACAAGCUUAAACUACAUGCUUUCUUUGAUAACUUUUCCUAUAUUGGACUUCCAAAC
RNAcentral lists this long non-coding RNA (205 nucleotides) under Elaeis guineensis (African oil palm). Its description in RNAcentral is "long non-coding RNA (EGUI_LNC034599)". Lineage: Eukaryota; Viridiplantae; Streptophyta; Magnoliopsida; Arecales; Arecaceae. The record is from RNAcentral.